ACGCUCGACACCUAGGAGGCAGCAGUGGGGAAUAUUGCACAAUGGGGGAAACCCUGAUGCAGCGACGCCGCGUGAAGGAAGAAGUAUCUCGGUAUGUAAACUUCUAUCAGCAGGGAAGAAAGUGACGGUACCUGACUAAGAAGCCCCGGCUAACUACGUGCCNGCAGCCGCGGUAAGUACUGAGCGGGCGUGGCGAAGGACG
This 202-nucleotide ribosomal RNA is filed under the name uncultured bacterium. RNAcentral describes it as "partial 16S ribosomal RNA". It matches the Rfam family "Bacterial small subunit ribosomal RNA", at positions 328 to 538 of the family's 1533-position model. The record is from RNAcentral.